AAAAAAAGUGCAAUAGAUGCAUGGAACGCAUUUCCCAAUGCCACAGAAGGGUUUCUGGCAGCAUAUGAGUGGAGUACUAGCGAGGCGUUUACAGUAAUCGAAAAGUUUGUCGUCAUUUUAUAUGACAGAGCCAGUUCAUUUACAACCGUAAACGAAGCCCGAAAGCACCUAUUCUCGAAAAAAGACCGCCAAUUGGAGAAUAUACCUCCGACGAAAGCUGCUCUAUACCAGCAUUUCCUGCGGGCAGUGUUCCAAGCAGUCCAUGUAUGGGGUCAGAUGUCACCGAAUCAAAAUCUUCCCUGUCCAUCUAACUGGGGAUGGAGAAAAGUCAGUGAAAGCUGGCAACCUACAUGGACAGGCUUGCCCGUAGCUGCAGAUGCAUGCCUGGAAAUGAUCCGGUGCAGAUGCAAAAAGAGGUGCGGCGGCUCGAGGUGCCGGUGCUUUCAGCGGCAACUUAAGUGCACGGAGCUUUGCGAUUGUGGGGGACAAUGUAAAUAAUAAACAUUUUUAAGUAAAAUUCUA
This is a long non-coding RNA of Cydia pomonella (codling moth), 522 nucleotides long. RefSeq lists it as uncharacterized. The record is from RefSeq and is a predicted model, not a curated record. The transcript has 2 exons. NCBI's taxonomy places the organism in Eukaryota, Metazoa, Arthropoda, Insecta, Lepidoptera, Tortricidae.